Molecule: long non-coding RNA, 1137 nt
Filed under: Mustela putorius furo (domestic ferret)
Lineage: Eukaryota; Metazoa; Chordata; Mammalia; Carnivora; Mustelidae
Description: lncRNA (ENSMPUG00000030477.1)
Source: RNAcentral
UGCAUCUUGGCCAGCAUUUGGUAUUGUCAGACUUCUGGAUGUUGGCUAGUCUCAUAGGUGUGCAGAAGCAACUCAUUGUCUCACAUGACCUUUUAAAUGUUCUUUACUUACAUGUGACAAACCACGUGAUAGGAUUAUAUUCCUGCAUUGUGACCUCAGGUUAGUAACUUCUGUUCCACCUUCCAGAGGCAGGAUUAUUGAAAAAGAGUGGAUAAUCAAAGGAAAGGGCCUGAGAUUCUGAGCUGGCAGGGUUGGGUUUAGGGAGAGUGAUGUCACUUGUUUUAGAGAAAUGAGGUGUGACAUAGUGGUCUGAUGGUCACCUGAAAUGCUUCUUCUCUCUGUUCAGGCCAGCUUGGCACAGAUCUCUCCAGCCAGAUGGGUUUGAGUACUAUUAGAAAAUAGGCCAUUUCCCUCUUUCGUCUUUGCAGCUUCUUACAAGCUCUGACCUGUUUUCUCAGCUUGACUGCUGGAAGGUGGAAUGGGUUCUGUUCCAGACCAGGACAGUGGUUUGUUUUCCUAUCCUGGAGCUUCCUUCUGCUCAGCUUCUGGGACCACAGCAGCAGCCAGCCCCUGCCCUGUGCCCCAGGCACUGUCUGGUUAUGUAGUUGGAGAAAAGGGCAGGGAAUACAGCAGUCAGGAAAGAGACCAUCUCCUGGACUAGCCACAGUGAAGCACACACAACCACAUGGUGGUGAGACCUGUUUGUAUCAUCAGUUCUUUGACCUCUGGAUGGGAGUGUGCCUAAACUCAGGCUCUAGGCCAGAUCAAUUAAGAGCAAAUUCUUCAAGAUGAAACAGAGAAGGCCCUCUGAUGAACCACUCAAACAGAUGCCUCUUCAGUGACACCUGGACAAUGUUAGGUAUUAACCCUAGAAAUUUCCAUCACCCCCUGGGAGAAUUCUGAAUCUGAAUUAAUAUUUAUCCCAAAUAAGGCAGCUCUUAAAACAGCAGGACCGGAGUUACAGGGACAAAGUGGGGUAAAGAUGUGUUUCCUUUUUCUGUUUCCCUCAAUGCAAAUCCGUGCUCUCGAGCCAGUUAAGAUCUGGAGACUAAAGUUCCAUUUCUGUACAGCUGACGUAGAGUGUGAGAGUUUUGCAUCUUCUAUACAAGCCCCCGUGUCACUUCUGGAACAUGAAGC